This 173-nucleotide non-coding RNA is filed under the name Clostridiales bacterium. RNAcentral describes it as "6S RNA". It matches the Rfam family "6S / SsrS RNA". From Rfam's summary of the family: E. coli 6S RNA was the first non coding RNA to be sequenced, but its function was unknown until recently. It consists of 184 nucleotides that fold into an extended hairpin structure with a large single-stranded internal bulge. The record is from RNAcentral. Lineage: Bacteria; Bacillati; Bacillota; Clostridia; Eubacteriales.
UGGCUCCUGAAGUGUACGCCAGUGUAUAAUUUUUACCCACAACUCAUUUAUUGGAGUUUGAUUUUUGAUGUGGAUGUAAUGCCUCCUUGUAGAGGACUGUUGAAGCAUUGAAUAGAACACCACCCUGCUACAUAGCGGGUGAAAAAAUUUACACAACGGCACUUUGGGGCUGU